AUUGAACGCUGGCGGCAUGCCUUACACAUGCAAGUCGAACGGCAGCACGGGAGCAAUCCUGGUGGCGAGUGGCGAACGGGUGAGUAAUAUAUCGGAACGUGCCCAGUCGUGGGGGAUAACGCAGCGAAAGCUGUGCUAAUACCGCAUACGAUCUACGGAUGAAAGCGGGGGAUCGCAAGACCUCGCGCGAUUGGAGCGGCCGAUAUAUGAUUAGCUAGGUGGUGAGGUAAAGGCUCACCAAGGCGACGAUCUGUAGCUGGUCUGAGAGGACGACCAGCCACACUGGAACUGGGACACGGUCCAGACUCCUACGGGAGGCAGCAGUGGGGAAUUUUGGACAAUGGGCGAAAGCCUGAUCCAGCAAUGCCGCGUGCAGGAUGAAGGCCUUCGGGUUGUAAACUGCUUUUGUACGGAACGAAACGGUGAGCUCUAAUACAGUUUGCUAAUGACGGUACCGUAAGAAUAAGCACCGGCUAACUACGUGCCAGCAGCCGCAGUAA
This 500-nucleotide ribosomal RNA is filed under the name uncultured bacterium. RNAcentral's name for it is "partial 16S ribosomal RNA". It matches the Rfam family "Bacterial small subunit ribosomal RNA", at positions 30 to 523 of the family's 1533-position model. The record is from RNAcentral.